RNAcentral lists this long non-coding RNA (864 nucleotides) under Bos mutus (wild yak). RNAcentral's name for it is "lncRNA (ENSBMUG00000021514.1)". The record is from RNAcentral. Lineage: Eukaryota; Metazoa; Chordata; Mammalia; Artiodactyla; Bovidae.
UCGCCGGGGAGGGGGGAGGGGUCCAGGGCUCGCCCCCUCGGGAGGGCUGUCUCUGGCGGCACCUCGGGGUGACGCAGCCUCCCCCGGCGCGGAGCCUCUCCGGGUUUGCAUCCCCGCAGUGCCCGCGCUGCCGGGGGCCCUCACCGGGUACACGCGGGGACGAGGACGCGGCGCGGGGCGUGGAGGAACAUUGGGACCCCAUCCCGUCCCAGAGCGGCCCCAGGAUCCGAGGUCUGACAUAGGGUAGGAGGGAUUUACUGGGAGUCCAGGAUUUCAGCUCCUCCAGCGGCCGCGGGGUCCGGCGAGGGUGAGGAAAAACUCCUUCCUGACGGAGCUCUCCAGCUUUGGAUUGGAAAGCUGCCUCUGAGACUCUGAAGGUUUACCUGCUGAUACUCGCUCCUUCCCAGUAACCCUCCAUCCCAAGGGGAGCCCCAGAAAGAACACCAGGGGGGCCUCCCUGCUGCCGCAGAACCACCUCACCCGCCACUCCAGCACUAAGUCAGAGCUGCCUGAGGAAGACUCCGCACACGUUUCCCUCGAGCUGGUCUGCAGGCCCCUCUGGCUGGGACCCUGUCCUGGGAGCUGCCCGUCUGCAAACAGAGAGCCCACAGUGCCUCGGGAAAAAUUGGCUGAAUAAAAGAUGCGUUGGAGGGAAGGACAGGAGAUACAGGAACGAGGAUGGAGCAGAGCAAGAUGGGGUUGAAGGAGCGUCCACAGAAGCUUCUGUGCAGGCCAGGCUGAGAGGUCACUACCCAGAAGGCUGAGGGUCCCCGAUGCUGGCCGGGCUCCAGAGACUCCUGAACUUGUGGAUGUGGAGUUUUUCCUCCUCCAGUUUUGUGAUGAAUAAAUUCACUUGUCUCCCCA